UUGUCUUUUUUAAAACAUGCAUAAAAUGGACGUGUAUUUUCUCUAUUAUACCUUAUUGAUUAAGUUCAUAUUCUAUCAUUAUAUUCUACAUUUAUGGAUAAUUAUCAGUGCGUCAGUGUGCGUUUUGGAGACUUUAUAUCGCGGUCGCUGAGCUCCUGUUCCUCGCUGCUGUUCAGCUCCGGCUGCGGCAGUCAGAGGCGGCAGGGAAAAUCAGCACACACCGCUGAGAGGCCUGCUGUUACUGAGCACGAACGGAGCACAGAGAAAGAGUGUGUAUGCCGCGAUGUGAGCGUGCAGACCCCGACAGAAUGAAAAUGGGGGACAAUUAAAAGAAUUUUAGGACAUGCUUCCUGUGCCGUAUGCUCCUGUGCAGAGCCCAGAGACAGGGUGACAGGGCAGAUUAAUGUCACGCAGGGGCUCAGUCCCCCCCUCUCCCCCAUGCAGAGGUCAGUUCUCUCGAUCCGCUCUCACUGUGCCUCCAACCGCCUGGAACUAAACCACUGCGGAGAUUCAAAUGCGGUUUAGGGGUGGGGGGUGGCGUUACUUCGGAAGAAGAAUAAGCUUGUCUGCAUAUGAAGAAAGAUGUGUCUGAGUCCCACCGGGCCACACUGGGACCAUUAUCCAACAGGAGUGAAACCUGUGGGGGUACAUCGCAAGAGCCGUGG
This is a long non-coding RNA of Megalobrama amblycephala (Wuchang bream), 665 nucleotides long. RefSeq lists it as uncharacterized. Lineage: Eukaryota; Metazoa; Chordata; Actinopteri; Cypriniformes; Xenocyprididae. The record is from RefSeq and is a predicted model, not a curated record. The transcript is spliced from 3 exons.